This 1084-nucleotide ribosomal RNA is filed under the name Rahnella aquatilis. Its description in RNAcentral is "bacterial SSU rRNA". It matches the Rfam family "Bacterial small subunit ribosomal RNA", at positions 33 to 1152 of the family's 1533-position model. Lineage: Bacteria; Pseudomonadati; Pseudomonadota; Gammaproteobacteria; Enterobacterales; Yersiniaceae. The record is from RNAcentral.
ACAGAUGCGGGGAGCUAGCAUAUGCAGUCGAGCGGCAGCGGAAGUAGCUUGCUACUUUGCCGGCGAGCGGCGGACGGGUGAGUAAUGUCUGGGAAACUGCCUGAUGGAGGGGGAUAACUACUGGAAACGGUAGCUAAUACCGCAUGACCUCGAAAGAGCAAAGUGGGGGAUCUUCGGACCUCACGCCAUCGGAUGUGCCCAGAUGGGAUUAGCUAGUAGGUGAGGUAAUGGCUCACCUAGGCGACGAUCCCUAGCUGGUCUGAGAGGAUGACCAGCCACACUGGAACUGAGACACGGUCCAGACUCCUACGGGAGGCAGCAGUGGGGAAUAUUGCACAAUGGGCGCAAGCCUGAUGCAGCCAUGCCGCGUGUGUGAAGAAGGCCUUAGGGUUGUAAAGCACUUUCAGCGAGGAGGAAGGCAUCAUACUUAAUACGUGUGGUGAUUGACGUUACUCGCAGAAGAAGCACCGGCUAACUCCGUGCCAGCAGCCGCGGUAAUACGGAGGGUGCAAGCGUUAAUCGGAAUUACUGGGCGUAAAGCGCACGCAGGCGGUUUGUUAAGUCAGAUGUGAAAUCCCCGCGCUUAACGUGGGAACUGCAUUUGAAACUGGCAAGCUAGAGUCUUGUAGAGGGGGGUAGAAUUCCAGGUGUAGCGGUGAAAUGCGUAGAGAUCUGGAGGAAUACCGGUGGCGAAGGCGGCCCCUGGACAAGACUGACGCUCAGGUGCGAAAGGGUGGGGAGCAAACAGGAUUAGAUACCCUGGUAGUCCACGCUGUAAACGAUUGUCGACUUGGAGGUUGUGCCCUUGAAGCGUGGCUUCGGAGCUAACGCGUAAGUCGACGCUGGGGAAUGUACGCCGCAAGUUAAACUCAAUGAUUGACGGGGCCCGCAAAGCGGUGAAGCAGUGGUUUAAUUCGGAUGCAGCGGAAAACUUACCUACUUUGCCUCCACGAUCCGCGAGAAUGGCUUAUUGCCUCAGGAACUGAGACGGGCUGAUGCUGUCGUCAGCUCUGUGUGAAAUUAGGUUCAGUCCGAGCAGGCGCACCUUACUCUUGUGCCACAUAUGUGGAACUCAAGAUACUCG